RNAcentral lists this ribosomal RNA (562 nucleotides) under Trigonopterus sp. 455 MB-2015. RNAcentral describes it as "partial 16S ribosomal RNA". Lineage: Eukaryota; Metazoa; Arthropoda; Insecta; Coleoptera; Curculionidae. The record is from RNAcentral.
ACCGACCUGGCUCACACCGGUUUAAACUCAGAUCAUGUAAAAUUUUAAAGGUCGAACAGACCUAAUUAUUCAGCUUCUUCACCAAUAAUAAAAUUUAAUCCAACAUCGAGGUCGCAAUCUUUCUUUUCGAUCAGAACUCUAAAGAAAAUUACGCUGUUAUCCCUAAGGUAAUUUUUUCUUNUUAUCUAAAAUUUAGGAUCAUUUUUCCAUACAUUAAUGUAUAAAUAAAAAAAAAGUUUAAUUAAUUUUUUUAUCACCCCAACAAAAUAUUCACUGACUAAACAAUUUCUUUAUUUCCAAACUUAAAAUUUAUCAGCAAAUAUAAAACUCUAUAGGGUCUUCUCGUCUUCUAUAAAAAUUUAAGCUUUUUGACUUAAAAAUAAAAUUUUAAUUAAAUUUUCCAGAGACAGACUUUUUUUCAUCAAACCUUUCAUUCAAGCUUUCAAUUAAAAAACUAAUGAUUAUGCUACCUUUGCACGGUCAGAAUACCGCGGCCAUUUAAAUGCUCAUUGGGCAGGUCARACCUAAAAUUAUUCUCUUCAAGCCAUGUUUUUAAUAAACA